UACAGAGGGGGCAAGCGUUGUUCGGAAUUACUGGGCGUAAAGGGCGCGUAGGCGGCCUGUUAAGUCGAACGUGAAAUCCCCGGGCUCAACCCGGGAACUGCGUCCGAUACUGGCAGGCUUGAAUUCGGGAGAGGGAUGCGGAAUUCCAGGUGUAGCGGUGAAAUGCGUAGAUAUCGGGAGGAACACCAAUGGCGAAAGCAGGUAACUGGACUAUUACUGACACUCAGCUGCGAAAGUUAGGGGAGCAAACAGG
RNAcentral lists this ribosomal RNA (253 nucleotides) under uncultured bacterium. RNAcentral describes it as "partial 16S ribosomal RNA". It matches the Rfam family "Bacterial small subunit ribosomal RNA", at positions 524 to 776 of the family's 1533-position model. The record is from RNAcentral.